AGUCGAACGGCAGCACGGACUUUGGUCCAGGAAGUGAGUGCGAACGGGUGAGUAAUGUAUCGGAACGCCUAGUAGCGGGGGAUAACUACGCGAAAGCGUAGCUAAUACCGCAUACGCCUCUGGGGAAAGCGGGGACCUUUCGGGCCUCGCACUAUUAGAGCGGCCGAUAUCGGAUUAGCGAAGUUGUGGGGUAACGGCUCACCGUUUAAGGCGACGAUCCGUAGCUGGUUUGAGAGGACUUCACCAGCCACACUGGGACUGGAGAUACGCCCAGACUUACGGGAGGCAGUGGGGAAUUUCAGAUAAUGGGGAAACUGAUCCAGCCAUCUCAUGUGUGCGAUGAAGGCCUUCGGGUUGUAAAGCACUUUUGGCAGGAAAGAAACGGCACGGAUAAUAAUUUCGUGCAACUGACGGUACCUGCAGAAUAAGCACCGGCUAACUACGCCACAGCAGCCGCGGUAAUACGUAGGGGUAAGCGUUAAUCGGAAUUAUCAGCGUAAAGCGUGCGCAGGCGGUUCGAAAGGAAAGAUGUGUGAAACUCCAGAGCUUAACUUUGGAACUGCAUUUUUAACUACCGAGCUAGAGUGUGUCAGAGGAGGUGGAAUUCGUGCGUGUAGCAGGAAUGUAGAUACGGCGUGAGGAACACCGAUGGCGAAGGUAGCCUUCGGGAUAACACUGACGUCAUGCGUCGAAAGCGUGGGGAUAAACACAGGAUUAGAUACCCUGGUAGUCCACGCCCUAAACGAUAUUAAUCAGCGUUGGGGCCUUCGGGCUUGGCGCAGCUAACGCGUGAAGUUGACCGCCUGAGAAGGUCGCAAGAUUAAACUCAAAGGAAUUGACGGGGACCCGCACAAGCGGUGGAUGAUGUGGAUUAAUUGAUGCAACGCGAAAACCUUACCUACCCUUGACAUGUCUGAAUCCCGUGAGAUUUGGGAGUGUCGCAAGAGAACCGGAACACAGGUGCUGUAUGGCUGUCGUCAGUUUCGUGUCGAGAUGUUGGGUUAAGUCCCGCAACGAGCGCAACCCCUUUGUCAGCCAGUUGCUACGAAAGGGCACUCCCAUCGAGACUGGAACAUGACAAACCGAGGAAGGUGGGGAUGACGUCAAGUCCUCGGCGGCCUUAUGGUAGGCUUCACACGUCAUAACAGUCGGGACAGAGGUCGCCAACCCGCGAGGGGGAGCCAAUCCCAGAAACCCGAUCGUAGUCCGGAUCGCAGUCUGCAACUCGACUGCGUGAAGUCGGAAUCGCUAGUAAUCGCAACAUCAGAGAAGUCGCGGUGAAUACGUUCAAGGUCUGUACACACCGCCCGUCACACCAUGGGAGUGGUUUGCUUAGGCGUAGUUAGCCUAACCAAAGAGUAGCGAUUAACACAGGUAGAUUCAUGACUGGGGGUGAAGUCGUAACAAGGUAG
This 1412-nucleotide ribosomal RNA is filed under the name uncultured Bordetella sp. Its description in RNAcentral is "partial 16S-23S ribosomal RNA intergenic spacer". It matches the Rfam family "Bacterial small subunit ribosomal RNA". The record is from RNAcentral. Lineage: Bacteria; Pseudomonadati; Pseudomonadota; Betaproteobacteria; Burkholderiales; Alcaligenaceae.